CAAGUUCUAAAUUAAUAGAAGAGUUAAAAGGGGUUCUCCAAUUUUCAAAAUCACCAACUCAGCUUCUCCAAUGUUUUACAAAACCAAAAGACUUUCAUGUAAUAAAACCCAAAAUGGUUACACUCUUCACUAUAAAUACGACCUAAUUUAUGUCAUUUUUGUCGGUUGAUUGUAUAGAAGAGCUGCUCCACUACUUUGACUGUUUAUGCCUAAAUUCAUUAAGACUUUACAAAAUUAGCUCUGCCAGACUCAUGAAACGGUGCAAGAUUCCAAACAAAUUAAGUACCCUGAAAAUCAAAUCGCAAAAAUUGAUCUAUAUCCUACUUGAUGAAAUAGAAUAAGC
This 343-nucleotide long non-coding RNA is filed under the name Panax ginseng (ginseng). RNAcentral describes it as "long non-coding RNA (PGIN_LNC015295)". Lineage: Eukaryota; Viridiplantae; Streptophyta; Magnoliopsida; Apiales; Araliaceae. The record is from RNAcentral.